RNAcentral lists this ribosomal RNA (439 nucleotides) under uncultured bacterium. RNAcentral's name for it is "partial 16S ribosomal RNA". It matches the Rfam family "Bacterial small subunit ribosomal RNA", at positions 339 to 795 of the family's 1533-position model. The record is from RNAcentral.
CUACGGGGUGCUCCAGUGAGGAAUAUUGCACAAUGGGGGGAACCCUGAUGCAGCAACGCCGCGUGGAGGAUGACGCAUUUCGGUGUGUAAACUCCUUUUAUAUGUCAAGAAAAUGACGGUAGCAUAUGAAUAAGCACCGGCUAACUCCGUGCCAGCAGCCGCGGUAAUACGGAGGGUGCAAGCGUUACUCGGAAUCACUGGGCGUAAAGGACGCGUAGGCGGGUUGGAAAGUCAGGUGUGAAAUCCUACAGCUUAACUGUAGAGCUGCACUUGAAACUUCUAAUCUAGAGUAUGGGAGGGGGAGAUGGAAUUAGUGGUGUAGGGGUAAAAUCCGUAGAUAUCACCAGGAAUACCUAAAGCGAAGGCGAUCUCCUGGAACAUUACUGACGCUAAGGCGUGAAAGCGUGGGGAGCAAACAGGAUUAGAUACCCUUGUAGUC